GACGAACGCUGGCGGCGUGCUUAACACAUGCAAGUCGAACGGAAAGGCCCUGCUUUUGUGGGGUGCUCGAGUGGCGAACGGGUGAGUAACACGUGUGUAACCUGUCCUUGACUUUGUGAUAUCUUCAGGAAACUGGGGCUAAUACCGGAUAGGAGCUCCUGCUGCAUGGUGGGGGUUGGAAAGUUUCGGCGGUUGGGGAUGGACUCGCGGCUUAUCAGCUUGUUGGUGGGGUAGUGGCUUACCAAGGCUUUGACGGGUAGCCGGCCUGGGAGGGUGACCGGGCACAAUGGGACUGAGAGACGGAGCAGAAGAGAACGGGAGGCAGCAGGGGGGAAUAUUGCAGAAUGGGGGGAAGCGUGAUGCAGCAACGCCGGGAGCGGGAAGACGGGCUUCGGGGUGUAAACCGCUUUGGCCUGUGACGAAGAGGGAGUGACGGUAAUGGGUAAAGAAGCACCGGCUAACUACGUG
RNAcentral lists this ribosomal RNA (468 nucleotides) under uncultured bacterium. RNAcentral describes it as "partial 16S ribosomal RNA". It matches the Rfam family "Bacterial small subunit ribosomal RNA", at positions 28 to 507 of the family's 1533-position model. The record is from RNAcentral.